RNAcentral lists this ribosomal RNA (372 nucleotides) under uncultured organism. Its description in RNAcentral is "partial 16S ribosomal RNA". It matches the Rfam family "Bacterial small subunit ribosomal RNA", at positions 527 to 896 of the family's 1533-position model. The record is from RNAcentral.
GUAGGUGGCAAGCGUUGUCCGGGAUUAUUGGGCGUAAAGCGCGCGCAGGCGGUUCUUUAAGUCUGAUGUGAAAGCCCACGGCUCAACCGUGGAGGGUCAUUGGAAACUGGAGAACUUGAGUACAGAAGAGGAAAGCGGAAUUCCACGUGUAGCGGUGAAAUGCGUAGAGAUGUGGAGGGACACCAGUGGCGAAGGCGGCUUUCUGGUCUGUAACUGACGCUGAGGCGCGAAAGCGUGGGGAGCAAACAGGAUUAGAUACCCUGGUAGUCCACGCCGUAAACGAUGAGUGCUAAGUGUUAGGGGGUUUCCGCCCCCCUUAGUGCUGCAGCUAACGCAUUAAGCACUCCGCCUGGGAGUACGGCCGCAAGGCUG